RNAcentral lists this transfer RNA (75 nucleotides) under Deltaproteobacteria bacterium. Its description in RNAcentral is "tRNA-Gln". It matches the Rfam family "tRNA". Rfam says of the family: Transfer RNA (tRNA) molecules are approximately 80 nucleotides in length. Their secondary structure includes four short double-helical elements and three loops (D, anti-codon, and T loops). Lineage: Bacteria; Pseudomonadati; Myxococcota; Myxococcia. The record is from RNAcentral.
UGGGGCGUCGUCAAGCGGUAAGACACGGGCCUUUGACGCCCGCAUUCGAAGGUUCGAAUCCUUCCGCCCCAACCA